Molecule: ribosomal RNA, 597 nt
Filed under: uncultured bacterium
Lineage: Bacteria
Description: bacterial SSU rRNA
Rfam family: Bacterial small subunit ribosomal RNA (bases 1-532)
Source: RNAcentral
CCUACGGGAGGCAGCAGUAGGGAAUAUUGGGCAAUGGAGGCAACUCUGACCCAGCCAUGCCGCGUGCAGGAAGAAGGCGUUAUGCGUUGUAAACUGCUUUUAUAUAGGAAGAAAUAGACCUUGCGAGGUAAGUUGACGGUACUAUAUGAAUAAGCACCGGCUAACUCCGUGCCAGCAGCCGCGGUAAUACGGAGGGUGCAAGCGUUGUCCGGAUUUAUUGGGUUUAAAGGGUGCGUAGGCGGUUUAUAAGUCAGUGGUGAAAGACGGUCGCUCAACGAUUGCAGUGCCAUUGAUACUGGUAGACUUGAGUGGGAUUGAGGUAGCUGGAAUGGAUAGUGUAGCGGUGAAAUGCAUAGAUAUUAUCCAGAACACCAAUUGCGUAGGCAAGUUACUAAGUCUCAACUGACGCUGAGGCACGAAAGUGUGGGUAUCAAACAGGAUUAGAUACCCCUGGUAGUCCACACUGUAAACGAUGAUAACUAACUGUUGGCUUUCGGGUCAGUGGUACAGAGAAAUCGUUAAGUUAUCCACCUGGGGAGAGCGCGACGAGAGUAAGAAGUAGAGNGNGAGAGAGCGAGACGACGACGAGGGAGGAGG